Molecule: small nucleolar RNA, 79 nt
Organism: Artibeus jamaicensis (Jamaican fruit-eating bat)
Lineage: Eukaryota; Metazoa; Chordata; Mammalia; Chiroptera; Phyllostomidae
Source: RefSeq, a predicted model, not a curated record
CUGGUUACAUGAUGAAUGAAAUCAAAUCACCAUCUUUCGGCUGAUGUCGUGAUGGAUUUGCAUUUUUCUGAUAAAGCUG